RNAcentral lists this ribosomal RNA (549 nucleotides) under Triticum aestivum (bread wheat). RNAcentral's name for it is "partial small subunit ribosomal RNA". Lineage: Eukaryota; Viridiplantae; Streptophyta; Magnoliopsida; Poales; Poaceae. The record is from RNAcentral.
AUGGAUGCAGAUCUCAGCCAAUGGAUUAUGAAGCACUACGACCCCGAGAGGUCCCAAAUUGUUAUACCAGAGAGGGGGAAGAUCCCGGUAGAUGCAGCGAGCGUUCAUAGAAUAUGGGGGUUGCCAAACAGCGGCAGAAAGGUCUGUUUUGAGAAUCGUCCUGACAUCACAAAGGCCAUUUAUAGCAUCUACAACAUUACAUCCAAGAACUCACCAACCCUCACGGCAUGGUGUAAGAUGAUUGUAGAUAUGCGCGGAGCUGAUGACGACAAUUUCCUCCGUGCUUGGGUAGCAGUCGCUUUUUCUUGCUUUCUUGCACCGUCAACAAGUCUAAACAUCUCUCCAAAAAGCUUCCCUGUUGUUAUGGAUGUCAAUGGUAUAACAGAGACAAAUAUCUAUCAGUUUGUUGUUGAUCAGUUAAAGGCAGCAUUCACAGUAGCAGGUGUCAAGAAGAAUACUGUAUGCUGUUGUGUUUUUCAUCUUGUAGUAAGUGCAGACAAUCGUAACAUUUGGUUCUCUAUUAUUCUUUCUUCUUUCUUUUUCUGUUAG